AUUGAACGCUGGCGGCAGGCCUAACACAUGCAAGUCGAGCGGUAGAGAGAAGCUUGCUUCUCUUGAGAGCGGCGGACGGGUGAGUAAUGCCUAGGAAUCUGCCUGGUAGUGGGGGAUAACGUUCGGAAACGGGCGCUAAUACCGCAUACGUCCUACGGGAGAAAGCAGGGGACCUUCGGGCCUUGCGCUAUCAGAUGAGCCUAGGUCGGAUUAGCUAGUUGGUGAGGUAAUGGCUCACCAAGGCGACGAUCCGUAACUGGUCUGAGAGGGUGAUCAGUCACACUGGAACUGAGACACGGUCCAGACUCCUACGGGAGGCAGCAGUGGGGAAUAUUGGACAAUGGGCGAAAGCCUGAUCCAGCCAUGCCGCGUGUGUGAAGAAGGUCUUCGGAUUGUAAAGCACUUUAAGUUGGGAGGAAGGGCAGUUACCUAAUACGUGAUUGUUUUGACGUUACCGACAGAAUAAGCACCGGCUAACUCUGUGCCAGCAG
This 491-nucleotide ribosomal RNA is filed under the name uncultured bacterium. RNAcentral describes it as "bacterial SSU rRNA". It matches the Rfam family "Bacterial small subunit ribosomal RNA", at positions 30 to 514 of the family's 1533-position model. The record is from RNAcentral.